This 1100-nucleotide ribosomal RNA is filed under the name uncultured bacterium. RNAcentral's name for it is "bacterial SSU rRNA". It matches the Rfam family "Bacterial small subunit ribosomal RNA", at positions 8 to 1077 of the family's 1533-position model. The record is from RNAcentral.
AGAGUUUGAUCAUGGCUCAGAGCGAACGUUAGCGGCGGGCCUAACACAUGCAAGUCGAACGAGAAAAUCCCUUCGGGGGUGAGUACAGUGGCGCACGGGUGAGGAACGCGUAGGUAAUCUACCCUCUGGCGGGGGACAACACUCCGAAAGGAAUGCUAAUACCGCGUAAGACCACACCUACUACGGUAGGAGCGGUUAAAGGUGCCUCAAAGCACCACCAGAGGAUGAGCCUGCGUCCCAUCAGCUUGUUGGUAAGGUAACGGCUUACCAAGGCGAAGACGGGUAGCUGGUCUGAGAGGAUGAUCAGCCACACUGGUACUGGAACACGGACCAGACUCCUACGGGAGGCAGCAGUGAGGAAUAUUGGGCAAUGGGCGAAAGCCUGACCCAGCCACGCCGCGUGUGUGAUGAAGGCCUUCGGGUCGUAAAGCACUGUGGGGAGAGACGAAACAGCGCAUCAGGAAAUGGUUGCGCCUUGACGGUACCUCCUUAGCAAGCACCGGCUAACUCUGUGCCAGCAGCCGCGGUAAUACAGAGGGUGCAAACGUUGCUCGGAUUUACUGGGCGUAAAGCGCGUGUAGGCGGACUCGCAAGUCGGUUGUGAAAUCCCUGGGCUCAACCUAGGAACUGCAUCCGAAACUGCUUGUCUUGAGUAAUGGAGAGGGUGGCGGAAUUCCCGGUGUAGAGGUGAAAUUCGUAGAUAUCGGGAGGAACAUCAGUGGCGAAGGCGGCCACCUGGACAUUUACUGACGCUGAGACGCGAAAGCGUGGGGAGCAAACAGGAUUAGAUACCCUGGUAGUCCACGCCGUAAACGAUGAGCAUUAGGUGCAGCGGAUAUUGACCUCUGCUGUGCCGUAGCUAACGCGUUAAAUGCUCCGCCUGGGGAGUACGGCCGCAAGGCUAAAACUCCAAGGGAAUUGACGGGGGGCCCCCACAAACAGUGGGAGCAUGUGGGUUUAUUUUUAAGCAACGCGCCGAAACCUUUCCACGGGGUGGAAAAAAUGGGGAAUCCUGGCGAAACAUCCGGGAGUGGUCUCCAAGAGAACACAAGGCCCAGGUGGUUGAAUGGGUGUCUUCAACCUCCCGCCCCGAGAAGAUU